This 512-nucleotide ribosomal RNA is filed under the name uncultured Pedobacter sp. RNAcentral describes it as "bacterial SSU rRNA". It matches the Rfam family "Bacterial small subunit ribosomal RNA", at positions 9 to 520 of the family's 1533-position model. Lineage: Bacteria; Pseudomonadati; Bacteroidota; Sphingobacteriia; Sphingobacteriales; Sphingobacteriaceae. The record is from RNAcentral.
GAGUUUGAUCCUGGCCAGGAUGACCGCUAGCGGCAGGCCUAAUACAUGCAAGUCGAACGAUACCCUCUGGCUUGCCAGAUGGGAAAGUGGCGCACGGGUGCGUAACGCGUAUGCAACCUACCUUAAUCAGGGGGAUAGCCCGAAGAAAUUCGGAUUAACACCGCAUAAAAACACAGGAUAGCAUUAUCUAAUGUUCAAAUAUUUAUAGGAUUAAGAUGGGCAUGCGUGUCAUUAGCUAGUUGGCGGGGUAACGGCCCACCAAGGCGACGAUGACUAGGGGAUCUGAGAGGAUGACCCCCCACACUGGUACUGAGACACGGACCAGACUCCUACGGGAGGCAGCAGUAAGGAAUAUUGGUCAAUGGAGGGAACUCUGAACCAGCCAUGCCGCGUGCAGGAAGACGGCCCUCUGGGUUGUAAACUGCUUUUAUUCGGGAAUAAACCACAUUACGUGUAAUGUGCUGAAUGUACCGAAGGAAUAAGGAUCGGCUAACUCCGUGCCAGCAGCGCGG